Molecule: long non-coding RNA, 2871 nt
Organism: Aphis gossypii (cotton aphid)
Lineage: Eukaryota; Metazoa; Arthropoda; Insecta; Hemiptera; Aphididae
Exons: 2
Source: RefSeq, a predicted model, not a curated record
ACGCUUAACCUUAACCACUCUGCGCGAGCCGGUGACCUUGAACGGUCGUAUUAAAACCACCAGCGGACCACCGCCCCUGCAUCCCGCCUAUCGGCCCGAGAUUAAACGGAAAAAAAUAACACUUGUUUGUUAUUUUAUUUUCCCCCCCUCCACCGGCCGGACGAGUUGUUGCAGUUGUUCUGUAGUAGUUGUCCGUCCGUCGACUCGGUAGCCGCUCGCGCGCAUAAUAAUAAUAUAAUAUUUUUGUUUAUAUAUGUAUAUAUUGUAGCACAUAAGUACAUACCUUGCACGUAGGUAUGUUAUUAAUAAUAAUAAUAAUAAAUCUGGUAGGCACUAAUCCUCCGCGAUCGCCAACAGGCCCGAGUCCGAGAUUUCCUACCUCGAUUAUUAUUACAAUAUUCUCGUUCGCAACGGUCUUAAGACUCCAGAGAGUGUGCUCAACCGAUCACCACCGUCGGCCAGUAUAACGAUUUGAUAUUUGAAAUACGAUCGCAGUUGUAGUUAUCAACAGCGAUGUGUACGUCCCGCCGCGAUUUAAGAUAAUAUUUUAUCUUAAGUCGUGCGUCCCGCGAAUUAAAAUAUAACAUUUUUAACCGUGGUCCAUCCGUUCGGCUAUGAAAGACGUUGUUGACGUAUUAUCGUGAUAAAUUAUUUAUCAUGGAAUAAAGUUAAUAGGAGACUAGGUAGUUGUAGUAGGGCACUAUAGGAUAAUAGGUAUGUUAAGCCACCAUUUUGCGAAUAAUUUAUUACGUAUAAUAUUGUGGAACUACGAAGCUGCCGCGUUUAUUUUAUCACUGAUAAACGAGUCGAAAAAUGGCGGUUUAGCAUACCCAUAUAUAUUUAGUGCUUUAGUAGUAGGUACCUACCUAAUAUAGCUUCGUGAUGAGUAAAAAUUAAUUUUUAGAAGUUGACUAUAAUUAUAAAUGUGCGGAUGCAGUAAAUGUAAUGUACAUGUUGCAUUAUGAACUUAAUAAUUUUCUUAAAAUAUUUAAUUAAGGAAAUCGAAACACUUUUAUUUUCCUUUGAGGUGAUGACAAACACAAAAAAAUAAAAAUAAAGGUUGCAAAAUAAAUAAAAUCAAUACAUUCAUUGUUGUUUAGAAUCUAAAAUAUAUUUAUUACUAUGUAAUAUUAAAUAACAACAUACAACCUGUGUAUCAAUAAUUAUAUAUAUAAUGAAAUGCCUUUUAUUGCCUUUUUUUACAUUUUAAUGUUUUUUUUUUUAUUAUAUUGCCUUCAAAUUCUAACCCUAAUUAUAACUAUUAAGCUUUAUGUGUACAAGAAUAAAGCCUUUGAAAGAAAUUUUGAAGAAGUUGAUUUUAUAAAUUAUUGGUUAAUACUUAAUGGUUAGUAAUUUGUAGGUACUUGUAUCGAAUCCAAAUAUCCAAUUUUAUUUUUAAAUACUGUAUCAAAUUUAUCAAUAUACAUUAUCAGCAGUUCAGUUUGUAAAGAUAAGAGAUAAUUUUGAUAAGAGCAUGAGGCCGCCAUCUUGCAGCCAUUCGGCGUUUUCUGUCUUUAGACGCUUGUACAAUGUGUCGGCGCCUUCCUCGAAAUUAUAUUUUAAAAAUAUAAUAAUAAAAUUUAACUAUAUAAUUAAUUAUACCUAUAUUGUAAUAUCGAAUUGUGCAGCAAGUUUUCGGCAUUCUCGAUGGUUUUCGGACAAGUGCUUAUCAGUUAUUGAUAAGAUAUGUUGAUAGUAGGAAUAACAUGCGCCUACGGAACUUGGAACUAGCUGCAAGUGAUCCACUCGUCUAUCCACGGCCCGGCAGCUGAUAUGAUCCGCAAGUACAUAACUAGACAACGGAGCUUGUCUUGGACAAAAAUUAUUAUCGCUUCUGGAAUAGGAGUGUUAGGCGGAGUUUACGUUUGGAAGCCGUUUUUCGAAUCUUUGGACUCCGACCGCCCCAAGAAAAUUAAGGAAGAAUGAAUAAGAAUGCAAAAACCGUUCAACCUGGUGGUGCACUCACCGGCAAUUUCAACAAAAUUAUAGCAUUUGUUGGUUUAGGUUGGUUUGCAUCCAUGGUGCUUGUUAGAUACGUAAUAAAACCAUAUAGAACAGAAUCAAGGAUGAAAGAAAAUGAAGCGCUUAUGAAUCAGCUUUACAAUGCACAAAAAUCACAAGAAAAUAAAAUAAGUGAAUUUGAUCUUGAUGAUUAAAAAUCAUUAAUAUUUUAUCAAUGUUUCAACCUUUAUGGUAUCAACUCAUGUUUUGUUAAAUAGAAUAGUAAAUACAUUUAGUUUAAUAUUUUUGUUUAUCUAUAUACAUUAAAUGUUAUAACCAUUUUGAAUCAAAUAGUAUUUAAGUAUAUAACUGUAAAUGUUUAAAAUAAAAAAAAAAAAAAUAAUUAUUUUUUUUUUUAAACCAAUUGAUUUUAUUUUUUAAGUACUUAGGUUUAAAUACUAAGGUUUGCAUUAUUUGUAGUAAUAACCACAGAAAAGAAUAACUAACUGACCUAGUUUGGUAUAUUGAGCAUUAUUUACGAAUACUUUAUAGUUUCAAGUACAUAGAAUAAUGUCAUUUAUAAAACCAAUAAAUUUUACUAAACCAACUGCACAGUAUAUAAAUUACAAGAUGGAUUUAAUAUUUAUUAAUUUGUACAUGUAUGCUAAACUUUUUUUUGAUUAUAGUUAGUUAUAUAUUAUUUACUUAGCUUCUUGAGUAAUAUUCAUUAACAACUUUCACUAUUUUGCUAUUUAAUCGUUAAAUGAAAUAAAACAUUUGAUUCUUAUUUAAUUCUUAGCAUUAUCAAUGGUGUUUUAGUAGAAGUUAUUUUUUAUAACAAUUUAACCUAAAAACAUUUUAAAAAGUAAUUACUAAAUGUUAUAUUUUUGAUACACCUUAAAUUACCAAUAAAUAUUUUAUUAUUAAUAA